RNAcentral lists this small RNA (28 nucleotides) under Bombyx mori (domestic silkworm). RNAcentral's name for it is "ovarian small RNA-27357". Lineage: Eukaryota; Metazoa; Arthropoda; Insecta; Lepidoptera; Bombycidae. The record is from RNAcentral.
UCCCUAAAUAUGUGCCGCUUAUUCGCUA